CGUUUAAAUACGAUGAUACUUUUUUUUUAGGAGUGGUAAAUAAAAAAAUGGUUAAAGAUAAUAAUUGGAAUAAAGAAAUUAGUAACAGCAAAAAUGAUAUAAACAGUUGGAACGAAAAAAGAGAAAAUACUGAUGGGAAGAUAUGGAAUAUAAAUGGAAGAACUGAAGAAUUAAAAACAAGUCAUGGUUAUAUUGAUAAGGGAAACGAUAACACCAACAAGAGUAUGGAAAGGAGUAUGGACAGGAGUAUGCAAAAGAGUAUGGAAAACGCCACACACGAUAAUAAUGAUAAUAAAGAAAGUGACAUAAUGAAGAAACUUGAUUUGAUCAUAAAAAAAAAUAAUGAAUAUAUUGAAAAAAAUUGGCUAAAAGAGUCAACUACCUUUUUUUUAAUAAACCAAACUGUUCACUUAAAAAUAUAUUUUAAAAUAGAUAAAGAAAACAGUUCAUUAUGUUUACUUUUUAAUUUAUUUGAUAAACAAGUUAAAAAUGUACACCUUCGUACGUGUUUCGAUAUAAUAGAGUAUGACAUAGAACUUUACCCCAAAACAAAUAAUUUUGUUUUAGUCGAAAGUGAUCAGGGUAUAUUUUAUAAUUCUAAAGGAUUAACUGGGGGUAAUACCAACAGUAAUGUCGGUAGUAAUGUAGGUAGUAAAGGAGAUAGUAAAGGAGAUAGUAACGACGACAGUAAUGACGACAAUAACGACGACAGUAAUGACGACAAUAACGACGACAGUAAUGACGACAGUAACGACGACAGUAACAGCGACAGUAUUGGUUACGCUUCUGAUAGUUCUAAAAAAAUGAAUAAUAAUAUACCCAAAGACAACUAUAAUAAAAAAAAAAAAAACAGAUUAAUAAGUUUUACUAAUUUACAAAACAAUACAAGGAAUAUAUUUAUUACUAUAAAAUUUAAAAACAACACACCCUUUAUUCAUUUAAAAUAUAAUUAUAUUUGUUACUCAAAAAAAUAUAAAAAUAAAAAGUUAAUAAUUCCGUAUGUGUUUACUGACCCAUGUCCAUUGUCGAUAAGCGAGUUUAAAAACGUAAACAAAAAGAAAACAUCCUGGAUUAACAGAACUUAUGAUACAGAAGUAGAAAAUAACGUGAACAUAACAAAGUUGUUGUUUAUUUAUUUUAUGUUUUUAUCGAAAUAUUUAGGAAUGUGUUUUUUUAAUAUGAAAAAUAUUUUUUUAAAUUUACAACAAAAUAAACACUUAAAUGAAUUUCGUGCCAUUUUUAGUUUCAAAAGUUGUACACAUGAACAACCUGUACAGUUUGUAAAAGAUACAAUAGUGUUACUGAUAAACGUUCAACAUACAAAAAAGGAAGAAGCAAACCAAAAUUGUAACUACUCACUUUACACGUUUAAUACAAAAAUCAAAAUAGUGAAUAAUUCAAACGAACAAGUUGGCACUAAAUUAUUGGAAUAUUUCGAAUUUUAUUUAAUUCAACUUUUAAAAAAAAAAUUAAAAUAAAUUCUGACGUUAUUAAUUAUGCUAUUCUUAACCAGUAGAUCUUAACCAGUAGAUCUUAUCCAAUAGAUAAUUUCGAAUGUAUCAUAAACAAAAACAAAAUAUGGGCAAAAAAAAAAAGGAAAAAAAGGGAGAGUAUAUUUAUUUACCCACAGCUUGCAUUUAUCUUAUAAUUACUUAUCUUAUAAUUACUUAUCUUAUACUUACUUACCUUAUAUUUAUCUCACUUUUUUUUUUUUUUUUUUUUUUUUUCCGUUUAAAUCUUUUACAUAGUGUAUGACAAGCAAUUUCUAUUUAUACAUAUAAUAUUCACUUUUAUAAAUUAAAAAUGAGAGAAUAAAUUUUUAUAAUUUUUUUUUUUUUUUUUUUUU
Molecule: long non-coding RNA, 1846 nt
Filed under: Piliocolobus tephrosceles (Ugandan red Colobus)
Lineage: Eukaryota; Metazoa; Chordata; Mammalia; Primates; Cercopithecidae
Description: lncRNA (ENSPTEG00000004559.1)
Source: RNAcentral